UGGUAUGGGAGGUGUGCUUGCUGUUAGAUUUCUGGUUGGAUGUAGAAGGUUAUUGGGAUGAAAUUCUUCUUCCCUAAAUACAGGUAUUGACAUCAGGUGCCUAGUAUAGGGAUGCUGGCUAUACUUUAUAGUGAAGUUAAUUAAUUGGGGAAUUUUGGUACUGGAUGUUACAGCAGACCUGCUGUGUUUUUGCCAUAAACCAGGCGACAGCGGCUGGAGCAUUCCAGUGUUCGUUUCCAAAGUUGAGCAUGUGUAGCUACUUCGUCAGCCUCAUCAUUCCUGUGGUCUGUGAUCAGUCCAUAAUCCCUCAGUUAUUCUGAAUGCAACAGUUUUACUUCAUAUGUCUACAAGUAAAAAGGAAAGAGAACGGCAAUGAAAUACUGUGUUCUGUAAUCUCAGCACUGACCAAGUACCAUAUACAAACGUGAGAUGCCUACUCACAAGAUUAAUCCUCCAACAUCUACAAGCUCUUUCAGCUGCAACAUGAACAAGCAGCAAGCUCAGACUCAGAGCUGCUUUGAAUUACAUCGGCAGCAACAGCCCUAUGUGUUCAUGCUUGAAAAUGUGGAGUCCCUGCAAUGUGAUGGUACAUCUGAACUGGGAAGGGGAGGGUGUCACGGUUUUAAGAUGCUUCCUAUUGCUGGAGAAAGACUGUAAAAUUGCACUGACAGGUGUUUAAAAAAAGUCUUAUUUCCAGCUGUUGCAUAUGCACAAUUCACAAAAUAGCUGAGAAAUCGGAAGCAAUCUUAUGGAUUUCUAGUCAGACCUUUCUGACUGGAAGAUGGGACUGAGUAGGGAAAGCAAUAAUUCUGGUGCACUCAGAGUGAAGUAGUUACUAAUUUAAAAAAAAAUCACAAAGAAUAAAACCUGUAGGCAAAUCUACUAUAAUUAUUACUUGACUCACUCUGCAAAAGGCAGCUGCUGUAACUUUACAUGCACUUCCAGCAUCAGCUGCUGAUCUAAUGAGCUUUGGAAGACCAGCUCUGCCAGCCUGACAGCUCCAAGAAAUACAGAAGCGUGGAAAAAGUGGCAUUGAUGUUUCAAUAAGUGAGAUUAUUUCCUCUGAGUCAGCAUGAACAAAAUGCCAUGGAAGAGUGUUGGAUCUAAGAGGCACCACUUUUAAAUAAGACUUAAAACUGGGACCCAUCUUCUCACUGGGAGUGAGACACUCUCCAGUGCACAGAUGAUAAAUACCUGUACGUGGUCAUAGACUUGAAGGAAUCCAGACUCACAGUGGGAAAAUACAGAAGCAUUUUGGUUGUUUGCCAUAUGUGGGAACUUAAUAAACACUACUGGGUAUUUCUGCAUGGCACAAACUAGUUCCAAACGAAGUAAUUCAGAUCUCCUAAAUAGGACUCCUGUUGUAGCACUGGACCUUCAUCCAGAGAAGUUCUCUGCAGGUUGCUGCUCCAGUGCAGAGUGAGGUUUGUGUCUUUGUAACAUUGUGCCCCAAAGUCAUGGCUCUUUUCACCUUUUCGGUUAAGCCUCUAGCCCAGAUAUAACUUCUGGUGGUCUGGGUGUCUUGCUGCCAGCAGCUGAGUCCUAGAAAAAUGUUCAUAUUCCAAAUUAGACAAGGAGGAAUCAUAGGUUGGAAUUAAAUCUGUUUCCCAUUUGGCUUUGUUCUGAUCCACAAUUGUUCUCACAGUACAGUUAAAAAUAAAAUGACCUCUUUCUUUUUCUAACUGCUGUCAAAAUUGUCAUUCCCCACCAGGUGCGCUAACUUCCAACUGCUCCCCGCUGGUACUGCUGCCCCUGUUGUCUCUCAGUCCAAAGAGCUUCUGAACAAGAGACAUGCUUUUAUGGAGCCUGGCAAAGCUUCAGAAGGGAAAAGGAAAAAUCAAUACUGCUUCAAAGCAAAGUCUUUGCUUCAGUGAAUAUGACAUUUGCCCUUUCUUCACUAGUGGGAAAAACAACAAGGACACUUACUUACACCAGCAAUGGAAAUAGAAUGAAUGACAACAGAGCGACCUUCCAGGUUUAACUUGUAAAGGGAAAUGUCUUUAUAGCCAUUGUCCCUAUUUGGUGACAUCAAAAGCAUGUGUAGGGUAUUAGGUGGUGCAGUCUUAGAAUGAAGGGGAAAGUAACACAAAGUCAAAGAGAAGAGUUGAAGGAAUUUGGAACAAGUAAUAAUGGACUCAGCUGAAAAGAUGGAGAAUAAAAGACAGAAUAAAGGUGAAGUCCAUUGCUGCACAAUCAAAUCAACUACAAAAUGUCACCUGUAAAUGUGGGUCACAAUAUUAAAAGGACUUUCCAGUAAGUUUUACACCAUUUCAACAGCUUCACAGCUACUGAAAAUGACCACAGAAUUUCAGUUUGCCAAUGAAUGGCUUCUCACUAAGACUGAAGCAGGUCAGAAAUUUUCCAAGAGAAGUUGCAAGUACCAAUUAAAUAAAUAAAUGUUUCUACAAAAUCAAAGUAACUUUGAAAAGCCCUCAGUGAUGUUUCUGGAGGGUUUACAAAAAUGUCAAAUAAAUGUAAACCUUACAACUCUGCUUCAAUUCAUUUUCAUAUUCAAGUUUUCAUUAAUUUAAUUCCUGUUUAAUUCUGACUGCUUUUUGUUUCUAGUUCUUUUUGUUUCAAAACUAGAUGCUUGUUCCAAGUCCCUAAUUUCAUUCUUCUUUGACUAUGCCACUUCUUAGUUUUCCAAGUUGUUUUGUUUUGAUGUUUCUACUUCUGUCAUUUUUUUCACAUGCAACUUUGUGGACCUCUUUCUUUCAGAAUAAAACGCCUUGUUUCAAUAGGCUCUGUGUAAUUGUUUGAAAAUACUCUUUUUUUACAUUAAAAAAAGCAUUUUCCUUAUGUGAAGCCAUGUAAGCAGCUGCAGCUGCCCCCAGCAGUGGAUAAUUCGCAGCACCUACCUUCCCCCAGUGAGAGGGGAUGCUGGGUCAGAUGCUGUUGUUGCAGUCAUGUAAUGGAGCAGACUUCAUCCCUGGUGAAUCAAAUAGCACGACUUCUGAGGAGCACGCUCGUAGUGUAGCAGGACAGUCAUGUACUCAUACUCUGACCCCUGUACUUGUGCUGGGUGAGAGUUCUGCAGCUACACGAAUCAAUAAAAAUGUAUUGAUUUCUCCACACUGUCAUAAAGCUUGUCUGCUUUUAUCUGCAGUUUGCAAGCUGAAAAAGAAGACUGUAAAACUACAAUUGUCUUAGACUUUCUCUCUUUUUAUCACCCCCAUUCCGUGCUCCUUACACCAGAGACCAAGAUCUGUUUCUCACAAAGCCACCUGGCCAGGGAGCCAUAGCCCCACUUGCUG
This is a long non-coding RNA of Cygnus olor (mute swan), 3254 nucleotides long. RefSeq lists it as uncharacterized. The transcript is spliced from 6 exons. Lineage: Eukaryota; Metazoa; Chordata; Aves; Anseriformes; Anatidae. The record is from RefSeq and is a predicted model, not a curated record.